UGAAAGAUGCCUGAUAAAAGGAUUAUUUUGAUGUAAUAAAAUAUGUAAGUAAUUACUCUUUCAA
This 64-nucleotide transfer RNA is filed under the name Paurocephala sauteri. RNAcentral's name for it is "tRNA-Ile". The record is from RNAcentral. Lineage: Eukaryota; Metazoa; Arthropoda; Insecta; Hemiptera; Liviidae.